GUAUCCUGGCUCAGGAUGAACGCUAGCUACAGGCUUAACACAUGCAAGUCGAGGGGGCAGCAUGGUCUUAGCUUGCUAAGGCCGAUGGCGACCGGCGCACGGGUGAGUAACGCGUAUCCAACCUGCCUUACACUCUUGGACAGCCUUCUGAAAGGGAGAUUAAUACAAGAUGUUAUCAUGAGUAAGCAUUUUCGCAUGAUUAAAGGUUUACCGGUGUAAGAUGGGGAUGCGUUCCA
This 236-nucleotide ribosomal RNA is filed under the name uncultured bacterium. RNAcentral's name for it is "partial 16S ribosomal RNA". It matches the Rfam family "Bacterial small subunit ribosomal RNA", at positions 14 to 240 of the family's 1533-position model. The record is from RNAcentral.